Molecule: long non-coding RNA, 213 nt
Filed under: Elaeis guineensis (African oil palm)
Lineage: Eukaryota; Viridiplantae; Streptophyta; Magnoliopsida; Arecales; Arecaceae
Description: long non-coding RNA (EGUI_LNC072643)
Source: RNAcentral
UCAAAAUAUUUUUGUAUCAUAACAUAUCAUAAUUUUCACUGAACAUAUGCAUAAUCAAUAAAUCAUAGUAUUUCGGAAUCACUUUUCAUUCAAAACAUAAUUUCAUAAAUCAUGCAUAAUUUCAAAGAAUAACUAUUUAAUCUUCAGAAUAAAUAUAAAAUAUCUCAAAAAGAUGAUUCAUUACUUACCUUUCACAGACCACCGAAUGAAUAG